UGGGGAGACCUAAUCCAUUUAGAAAUCGAAAACAAUGAAAAUUGUCAAUAGAAACUAAAUUGGUCUAACCUAGGUCGUUCGAGAUUGGUAGACAUCUUUCAAAGUAUUAUUCGGCUUCGUUCAAAACCAUAUAUAAUAAAUGGAAAAAGACAGCACCUAAUUGUCAAAGUUAGACAGCUGGAUGAAGUUCCAGCCAGAACCUUGAAAACUGCAUAAGAGAACAAGAAAAAGCAGGCAGACACAGACAUUUAGAUGGAUGUGGAAGCAAAAGAAAUUGU
This 278-nucleotide unclassified non-coding RNA is filed under the name uncultured Anabaena sp. RNAcentral describes it as "partial 16S-23S ribosomal RNA intergenic spacer". Lineage: Bacteria; Bacillati; Cyanobacteriota; Cyanophyceae; Nostocales; Nostocaceae. The record is from RNAcentral.